GCUCUCUUUGGCAGCUUAUCAUAAAAUUGGAAUCAUACAGAGAAAAUGAGUAUGGCCCCUAUGCAAGCAGGACACUCAAAUUGGUGAAGCAUUCCAUAUCUUU
Small nuclear RNA from Vulpes vulpes (red fox), 103 nucleotides. The record is from Ensembl. NCBI's taxonomy places the organism in Eukaryota, Metazoa, Chordata, Mammalia, Carnivora, Canidae.